GUACACACCGCCCGUCGCUCCUACCGAUUGAAUGUUCCGGUGAACACUCUGGAGUCGUGGUUUCUGUAGGUUCUCCUGCUUAACCAAUGGCAAAGUUGUGUAAACCUUAACAUUUAGAGGAAGGAGAAGUCGUAACAAGGUUUCCGUAGGUGAACCUGCAGAAGGAUCA
Molecule: ribosomal RNA, 169 nt
Filed under: uncultured eukaryote
Lineage: Eukaryota
Description: partial small subunit ribosomal RNA
Rfam family: Eukaryotic small subunit ribosomal RNA
Source: RNAcentral